GAUCAUGGCUCAGGAUGAACGCUGGCGGCGUGCUUAACACAUGCAAGUCGAACGAAGAUGCCGGAGUGCUUGCACUUUGGCAGACUGAGUGGCGGACGGGUGAGUAACGCGUGGGUAACCUGCCUUAUACAGGGGGAUAACAGUUGGAAACGACUGCUAAUACCGCAUAAGCGCACGGUAUCGCAUGAUACAGUGUGAAAAACUCCGGUGGUAUAAGAUGGACCCGCGUCUGAUUAGCUAGUUGGUGAGGUAACGGCCCACCAAGGCGACGAUCAGUAGCCGGCCUGAGAGGGUGAACGGCCACAUUGGGACUGAGACACGGCCCAAACUCCUACGGGAGGCAGCAGUGGGGAAUAUUGCACAAUGGGGGAAACCCUGAUGCAGCGACGCCGCGUGAGUGAUGAAGUAUUUCGGUAUGUAAAACUCUAUCAGCAGGGAAGAUAAUGACGGUACCUGACUAAGAAGCACCGGCUAAAUACGUG
RNAcentral lists this ribosomal RNA (482 nucleotides) under uncultured bacterium. RNAcentral describes it as "bacterial SSU rRNA". It matches the Rfam family "Bacterial small subunit ribosomal RNA", at positions 15 to 507 of the family's 1533-position model. The record is from RNAcentral.